This is a long non-coding RNA of Micropterus dolomieu (smallmouth bass), 512 nucleotides long. RefSeq lists it as uncharacterized. NCBI's taxonomy places the organism in Eukaryota, Metazoa, Chordata, Actinopteri, Centrarchiformes, Centrarchidae. The record is from RefSeq and is a predicted model, not a curated record. The transcript is spliced from 3 exons.
UUGACGGGGCUGAAGUCAACGCUGGGUUGUGUGAUAAGCCCAACAGAGACGCUGUGGAGGUGAUGCACAGGGACAGGGUGAUGAUGACCCCAGUCAUGCUGAUGAGCAGGGAGAGAAGAUGCAGCAGGAGGAGAAAGAGGAGGACAGGGAAGAGAAGCAGCAGGAGGAGAAGGUCAUGAGGGCAGAGCAGCAGAGUGACCCUCCGCAGGACUGAGUAUGAGUGUGUGUGUAUGAGAUAAAUGCCUGAAGGAAGACAUGGACUGUUGGAAACACUUCACAUACAAGGAAUAACCCUUUUCUUGGUGUAACAGCAAUUUAAAGAAUUAAUGUGUAUUUUUCAUAUAAGUAAAUGUCUCUUUCAAUAAAACACUAAAGAAACUUAACUUGAAGCCAUCAAUGUGCAUUAAAGUCUUUGUUUGGUUGAUAUUUCCCACCAAACUUGUUUUGUUUGCUUUACUUUACAGCAAUGUAUGUUUGCAAUACAUAAAGAGCUGGACAGUUUAGUAAAUUGU